Molecule: long non-coding RNA, 365 nt
Filed under: Helianthus annuus (common sunflower)
Lineage: Eukaryota; Viridiplantae; Streptophyta; Magnoliopsida; Asterales; Asteraceae
Description: hypothetical non coding rna
Source: RNAcentral
GUGCUUACGGCCGAGAGCCAAAUCACAACCACCCACCCACUUUCAAAUCCCAUAUUAAUAAACCACAUACACUCAAGUGUGUAAGGUCGCAUACAAGGAAGCCUGGUGCUUGCGGAUUGCCAAGGACCUCUCUACGACGCUAUUAACCACCCAUUUUUCGUCUAGUUUCUUCCCUAGCCUCGAGCUAGUAAAAAUGCCUUAUGGAUUGGUAACUAGGAUGGAUGUGCGCGUGGUCUCACUUAUGCUCGUGGAUGUCGCUUGUGUUUGUCUUUAAAUAAAGUGUAAACCUUUUAAGACAAUGUUUUAUGUUAACUCGCGAUGUAAACGCUAACUUAUGAUUUCAAAUUAUGGUAUUUGAAGUUAUU